AGGCAAUAGAUACCCAGGUAGUCCACGCUGUAAACGAUGGGUACUAGAUUUGGUGGGUCUUGACCCCCGCCGAAAUCGGCGCUAAACGCACUAAGUACCCCGCCUGGGAAGUACGGUCGCAAGACUAAAACUCAAAGGAAUUGACGGGGGCCCGCACAAGCGGUGGAUCAUGUGGUUUAAUUCGAAAGCAACGCGAAGAACCUUACCUGGAUUUGACAUCCUCUGACAACCCUAGAGAUAGGGCUUUCGUAGCAAUACGACAGAGAGACAGGUGCUGCAUGGCUGUCGUCAGCUCGUGUGGUGACAUGUUGGGUUAAGUCCCGCAACGAGCGCAACCCUUGUCCUUAGUUGCCAGCAUUAAGUUGGGCUCUCUAAGGAGACUGCCGUGGUUAACACGGAGGAAGGU
Molecule: ribosomal RNA, 406 nt
Filed under: uncultured bacterium
Lineage: Bacteria
Description: bacterial SSU rRNA
Rfam family: Bacterial small subunit ribosomal RNA
Source: RNAcentral